RNAcentral lists this ribosomal RNA (434 nucleotides) under uncultured bacterium. RNAcentral describes it as "bacterial SSU rRNA". It matches the Rfam family "Bacterial small subunit ribosomal RNA", at positions 29 to 507 of the family's 1533-position model. The record is from RNAcentral.
AACGAACGCUGGCGGCAGGCUUAACACAUGCAAGUCGAACGGUUGUAGCAAUACAGCAGUGGCAGACGGGUGAGUAACACGUGGGAACCUUCCUAGGGGUACGGAACAACUCAGGGAAACUUGAGCUAAUACCGUAUACGUCCGUGAGGAGAAAGAUUUAUCGCCCUUAGACGGGCCCGCGUCGGAUUAGCUAGUUGGUGGGGUAACGGCCUACCAAGGCGACGAUCCGUAGCUGAUCUUAGAGGAUGAUCAGCCACACUGGGACUGAGACACGGCCCAGACUCCUACGGGAGGCAGCAGUGGGGAAUCUUGGACAAUGGGCGCAAGCCUGAUCCAGCCAUGCCGCGUGAGUGAAGAAGGUCUUCGGAUUGUAAAGCUCUUUUACCAGGGACGAUAAUGACGGUACCUGGAGAAUAAGCCCGGCAAACUUCGUG